GAGGGUGAAGCGUUAAUCGGAAUUACUGGGCGUAAAGCGCACGCAGGCGGUCUGUCAAGUCGGAUGUGAAAUCCCCGGGCUCAACCUGGGAACUGCAUUCGAAACUGGCAGGCUAGAGUCUUGUAGAGGGGGGUAGAAUUCCAGGUGUAGCGGUGAAAUGCGUAGAGAUCUGGAGGAAUACCGGUGGCGAAGGCGGCCCCCUGGACAAAGACUGACGCUCAGGUGCGAAAGCGUGGGGAGCAAACAGGAUUAGAUACCCUGGUAGUCCACGCCGUAAACGAUGUCGACUUGGAGGUUGUGCCCUUGAGGCGUGGCUUCCGGAGCUAACGCGUUAAGUCGACCGCCUGGGGAGUACGGCCGCAAGGUUAAAACUCAAAUGAAUUGACGGGGGCCCGCACAAGCGGUGGAGCAUGUGGUUUAAUUCGAUGCAACGCGAAGAACCUUACCUACUCUUGACAUCCAGAGAACUUAGCAGAGAUGCUUUGGUGCCUUCGGGAACUCUGAGACAGGUGCUGCAUGGCUGUCGUCAGCUCGUGUUGUGAAAUGUUNGGUUAAGUCCCGCAACGAGCGCAACCCUUAUCCUUUGUUGCCAGCGGUCCGGUCGGGAACUCAAAGGAGACUGCCAGUGAUAAACUGGAGGAAGGUGGGGAUGACGNCAAGUCAUCAUGGCCCUUACGAGUAGGGCUACACACGUNCUACAAUGGUAUAUACAAAGAGAAGCGACCUCGCGAGAGCAAGCGGNCCUCAUAAAGUAUGUCGGAGUCCGGAUUGGAGUCUGCAACUCGACUCCAUGAAGUCGGAAUCGCUAGUAAUCGNAGNUCAGAAUGCUACGGUGAAUACGUNCCCGGGCCUUGU
This 855-nucleotide ribosomal RNA is filed under the name unidentified gamma proteobacterium S13. Its description in RNAcentral is "bacterial SSU rRNA". It matches the Rfam family "Bacterial small subunit ribosomal RNA", at positions 529 to 1384 of the family's 1533-position model. The record is from RNAcentral. Lineage: Bacteria; Pseudomonadati; Pseudomonadota; Gammaproteobacteria.